This 282-nucleotide ribosomal RNA is filed under the name uncultured Lachnospiraceae bacterium. RNAcentral describes it as "partial 16S ribosomal RNA". It matches the Rfam family "Bacterial small subunit ribosomal RNA", at positions 66 to 339 of the family's 1533-position model. Lineage: Bacteria; Bacillati; Bacillota; Clostridia; Lachnospirales; Lachnospiraceae. The record is from RNAcentral.
AUUUGAUUCUUCGGAUGAAGAUCCUGGUGACUGAGUGGCGGACGGGUGAGUAACGCGUGGGUAACCUGCCUCGAUACAGGGGGAUAACAGUUAGAAAUGACUGCUAAUACCGCAUAAGACCACAGCACCGCAUGGGUAGCAGGGGUAAAAACUCCGGUGGUAUGAGAUGGACCCGCGUCUGAUUAGGUAGUUGGUGGGGUAACGGCCUAACCAAGCCGACGAUCAGUAGCCGACCUGAGAGGGUGACCGGCCACAUUGGGACUGAGACACGGCCCAAACUCC